Molecule: long non-coding RNA, 193 nt
Organism: Perognathus longimembris pacificus (Pacific pocket mouse)
Lineage: Eukaryota; Metazoa; Chordata; Mammalia; Rodentia; Heteromyidae
Exons: 3
Source: RefSeq, a predicted model, not a curated record
CAGGGAUUACACAUAGCUAGGAUUAUAGACAUGUGCAGCUUGUUAGUUGAAAUGGGGUCUCACUAACUUUUUGCUUUUGCUUGCCCUGAAUCACAAUCCUACCACACUUCACCUUCCAAACAGCAAAGAUUUUUGUUGUUGUUGUUUUGGUUUGAUUUGGUUUUUAGUGCCAAUCCUGGGCCUUGAAUUCAGG